GAUGAAGAACGCAGCGAAAUGCGAUAACUAAUGUGAAUUGCAGAAUUCCGUGAAUCAUCGAGUCUUUGAACGCACAUUGCGCCCCCUGGUAUUCCGGGGGGCAUGCCUGUCCGAGCGUCAUUACAACCCUCAAGCCCGGCUUGUGUAAUGGGCGGCCGUCUCUCCCCCCGGGGGGAGACGCCCCCGAAACUCAGUGGGGAUGUCGCGAUACCGAAGCCUCAGCUAAUGGGUAAACCACAGCUGCAAUGGCCGCGGCCGGCGUCCGCCUUCCACGGUCCGUCCGCCUAGCGCGGGCGGCCUUCUCAAGGUUGACCUCGGAUCAGGUAGGGAUACCCGCUGAACUUAAGCAUAUCAAUAAGCGGAGGA
This 366-nucleotide unclassified non-coding RNA is filed under the name soil metagenome. RNAcentral describes it as "partial contains 5.8S ribosomal RNA, internal transcribed spacer 2, and large subunit ribosomal RNA". The stretch from base 1 to 120 matches the Rfam family "5.8S ribosomal RNA", at positions 35 to 154 of the family's 154-position model. The record is from RNAcentral.